This 253-nucleotide ribosomal RNA is filed under the name uncultured bacterium. RNAcentral's name for it is "partial 16S ribosomal RNA". It matches the Rfam family "Bacterial small subunit ribosomal RNA", at positions 524 to 776 of the family's 1533-position model. The record is from RNAcentral.
UACGUAGGGUGCAAGCGUUGUCCGGAUUUAUUGGGUUUAAAGGGUGCGUAGGUGGCUGAUUAAGUCAUGGGUGAAAGCCCGCAGCUCAACUGUGGAAUUGCCUGUGAUACUGAUUAGCUUGAGUGCGGUUGAGGCAGCUGGAAUUGGUGGUGUAGCGGUGAAAUGCAUAGAUACCACCAGGAACACCGAUUGCGAAGGCAGGUUGCUAAGCCGUAACUGACACUGAGGCACGAAAGCGUGGGGAGCAAACAGG